This is a long non-coding RNA of Peromyscus eremicus (cactus mouse), 2531 nucleotides long. RefSeq lists it as uncharacterized. Lineage: Eukaryota; Metazoa; Chordata; Mammalia; Rodentia; Cricetidae. The record is from RefSeq and is a predicted model, not a curated record. The transcript is spliced from 3 exons.
GGUCACUUCCUGGGGCCCUCCAGCCAGCACUUCCUCCACAUAGGCUUUCUCUAGGGCUGACCAGGGCUGCCAUCUUCUCUCCUGCCUUUCCAUGUGUACAAUGGGACACAGUGGUGUCCAUAUGCCCAUGCCACACACUGACCUGGGAAGCCUGGCUCCAGCCAGACCCUCAACUUCAAGAAGGCAGAAGAGGUUUCCCAACCAUUACCUCUAUACCACAUGCAUUCCAGGAAAAAAAUCAGCAGCAGAAUAUCUGAAUACUCUGGAGAUUGCUAGAUGAAAACAUAAGGAGUGAAUUUCAAACUAUAAUUACAGAGAAGGACCUUCUGAACAAGAAUGCAGUCGCUUGGGAAAUAAACAAGAUUUGAUGCAUAAGCCAACAUAACACUUAGAAGCUUCUGCACAGGCUUCAUGGUUCCAGCUAAUGCAUCAAAUACAGUAAUGAAAAGGACUGGGCAUAGUGGACAGCACUGAUUAUUUUCAAAUUUGAUUGGGAUUGAUUCAAGUUCUUCUCCACUGAACCUGACGCUGCCUGUGGGUUUGUCAUAGAAACCUCCAUUCUAUUGAGGUACCAUAGGACUUUUAUCAAAAAAAGCAUGUUGGAUUUUAUCAAAGGCUUUUUCUACAUCUUUUAAGAUCAUCAUGUGAUCUUUGCCUUGAGUCCAUUUAUGUUAUUUCUCAGAAUUGAAAAUAAUCUUUCAAACACAAAAAUUUCUUAUCUAGAAUAUAGAGUAAAUUUACCUGGCCUUGAUAAAAACCCUGAAUCUGGAGCUGCUCAUAUGAAGAAAUGAAACAAUGAAAUGUAGUAUAAAAAUAUCAAAUUGGGAGGUCAGAGUUGUUUUGUAUUCACAACUGCAGAAGGCAUAGUUCAUAUGACAGGAUAAUGUGGAUAAAAUAAUAUUUGGAUGUUUACCUCCACUUGAAACUUUCUGUCUGCAUAACGUCUGGCUGUGGGUCUCUGCACCUGCUCCCAUCUGCUGCCAGAGGAAGCCUCUCUGAUGAUAACUGGACAAAGCACUGAUCUGUGAGUAUUGCAGAAUAUCAUUAGGAAUCAUUUCACUGUUUUUUGUUGGUUUGUUUUUUGCCUGUAGUGUUUGAUUCCACCCUAGGUCUCUGGACUAUCCAGUCUCCAGUUCCUGGCCAUCAGAUAGUCUAGGGCACCCACUCCCUCUCAUGGACUGGGCCUCAAGUUAAACCUGCCAUGGUCACGCAGUCUGUGCCUUCUCUCUCUGCUCUCUACUCUGUGUUCCCUCUCUGCUCCCUGCUCUCUGCUCUGCUCCCGCCAUCUCCCCCCCCCCCAGACCUAGCUCCCCUCUCUCCCUCACCUUUCCCUUCUAAUAAAGCUCUCUGUAACUCUAGUAAUCAUGGCCGUGGCUCCUGACUUUUCCACCAGUAACCAGCGCCACCAAACAGUACUGUUUAUCUUUCAGUAGACACUGGGUUUUAUUUCUGAUUUUAGAGGAAAUUCUUUGAGAUUCUCUCAGUUUAGAUUGAUGUUGGCUGUGGGCUUGCUACACACUGUAUUAUAUGAAUGUAUGUGUUAGUUUUAUGCGGUGCUGUUUACCCUGUGAGAAAAAGUCAUGGGGCACAACAAAACCCACUAUAAGAGUUUAUUAGGAGAAGGGAGGGACAGGCCUGUUUGAAAGACAUGUGUGGAAGAGGGAAGAGAGGGUAAUGGGAUCCGCCUUUCAUGGACUCCCCCAACGCAUGCACAUAUGGGCCUACACUACACCACGCAUGUGCAUAGAUUACGUGAUCACACUGCACACAAAUUACAUGACCACACGGCACACAGAUUACAUAGGUACGGCCCAGGAAAUGACUAAGCAUCUUGCCAACACAUGCGAGGUCAUGGGGCAUGGCUAGAAAUUCUAUCAGUAUGUCCCUAUUUUAAGCUUUUGUCAUGUGUGUUACAAUCUGAAUAAUCACAGAGGUUAGGUACCUAGAAAGGCACCAGAAGGAGGAGAGAAUCUUCCAAGGAAGUGAAAAUGGAACACUGAGUUACUAAGUAUAGACACUGUCUUAUAGUGACAGGAUAGGAAAAGGGAUUCCAAGGAAAUGGAACCAGGAAACAAGGAAAAGUUGUACUGUCCUUUCCCCCAUAUUCCCCGUGAUGGGAUGGUUAAUAUCGAUUGUCAACUUGACAGGAUCUAAAAGUCCCUUAAGAGACUCUGGACUCCUCUGUGAAAGAUCAUCCACAUUAGGUUAGCUGAGGUGGAAAGGAUCACCCUAAAUGUGGGCAACACCAGACUGAACAAAACAGACAAAGUAAGCUGAGCACCGCCCCCCUUCCCCUCUCCCUAUCCUUCUCCCCCUCUCCCUGCCCCUUCCCCACCCUCUGCUUCUUGAUUGUGGAUGCAAGAUGACCAGCUGCUUCAAGCUCCGGCCGCCAUGCCUUCCCACCACGAUAAACUACACCUUACAAACUGAACCAAAACCAACCCUUCUUCCUGAAGUUUCUUUUGCCAGGCAUUUUCACAACAACGAGAAAGUAACUAGUACAUUCCAUUGGGAAACAAGUCCUUGUACCU